UGAGGAAUAUUGGUCAAUGGACGCAAGUCUGAACCAGCCAAGUAGCGUGCAGGAUGACGGCCCUAUGGGUUGUAAACUGCUUUUAUGCGGGGAUAAAGUGUGCCAUGUAUGGCAUUUUGUAGGUACCGCAUGAAUAAGGACCGGCUAAUUCCGUGCCAGCAGCCGCGGUAAUACGGAAGGUCCGGGCGUUAUCCGGAUUUAUUGGGUUUAAAGGGAGCGUAGGCCGUCGUUUAAGCGUGUUGUGAAAUGCCGCGGCUCAACCGUGGCACUGCAGCGCGAACUGGAUGACUUGAGUUCGCGGGAGGUAGGCGGAAUUCGUGGUGUAGCGGUGAAAUGCUUAGAUAU
This 345-nucleotide ribosomal RNA is filed under the name uncultured Prevotella sp. Its description in RNAcentral is "bacterial SSU rRNA". It matches the Rfam family "Bacterial small subunit ribosomal RNA", at positions 355 to 697 of the family's 1533-position model. The record is from RNAcentral. Lineage: Bacteria; Pseudomonadati; Bacteroidota; Bacteroidia; Bacteroidales; Prevotellaceae.